Long non-coding RNA from Coffea eugenioides, 427 nucleotides. RefSeq lists it as uncharacterized. The transcript has 3 exons. The record is from RefSeq and is a predicted model, not a curated record. Lineage: Eukaryota; Viridiplantae; Streptophyta; Magnoliopsida; Gentianales; Rubiaceae.
CGCAAAGACCCUAAACGGACCUAGCAUGAGUUGACACUUAGACUUAACCAUUAAGUCACCAAUUCUCUCCACUUUCAUUACAAUACCUGAUUUCACUCUCUCUCCUCUCGUCACUCUCUAGUUGGCCGAAGAUGGGAAGAAAAAAAUCUAGCCAAAAUCCUCACAAACUUGCUUCAAUCCACUUCCAAAUUUCAUCAUCCAUUAGAGGGCUUUGAUCCUAGCUUGGAAGAGGGGGCUGUUCAUCGGUUUUCUUGGAGGAAUUUCGGUCAAGAUUUCUGCCCUAAAGCUGUCCAACUAAGUUCUUGAGGAUCUCAAGAGGACUUCGAGGGAACUCCCGGCGAAGCGUCUUAGAGCUAAUUUCUCAAACUUUGACUUUUGAUACUUGGUUUGGAAGUGGAAGUUCUGAGGCUUAAUUAGUGACCCCCAA